RNAcentral lists this ribosomal RNA (351 nucleotides) under uncultured bacterium. RNAcentral describes it as "partial 16S ribosomal RNA". It matches the Rfam family "Bacterial small subunit ribosomal RNA", at positions 338 to 686 of the family's 1533-position model. The record is from RNAcentral.
CCUACGGGUGGCAGCAGUGAGGAAUAUUGGUCAAUGGGCGCGAGCCUGAACCAGCCAAGUAGCGUGAAGGAUGACUGCCCUACGGGUUGUAAACUUCUUCUAUAAAGGAAUAAAGUGAUGCACGUGUGCCUUUUUGUAUGUAUUUUAUGAAUAAGGAUCGGCUAACUCCGUGCCAGCAGCCGCGGUAAUACGGAGGAUCCGAGGGUUAUCCAGAUUUAUUGGGUUUAAAGGGAGCGUAGAUGGUUUGUUAUGUCCGUUGUUAAAGUGUGCGGCUCAACCGUAAAAUUGCAAGUGAUACUGGUAGCCUUGAUUACAGUUGAGGUAGGCGGAAUUCGUGGUGUAGCGGUGAAA